UCUUGUAAUCGUGAAUUUGUGGAAUUUCUGUGAUUAUGAAGUUGUAAAGUGUAUUUUUGCAAUUUUCUUGUACUUUUGUAUUUCCUUUUACGUGAUCGUGAAUUUGUGGAGUUUCUAUUAUCGUGAUUUUGUGGAACUUAUGUGAUCAUGAAGUUGUGGAAUUUAUUUUUGCAUUUUUCUCGUAUUUUUUGUGUUUACUUGUUGUGUGUG
This is a long non-coding RNA of Arabidopsis thaliana (thale cress), 210 nucleotides long. RefSeq annotates it as other RNA. Lineage: Eukaryota; Viridiplantae; Streptophyta; Magnoliopsida; Brassicales; Brassicaceae. The transcript has a single exon. The record is from RefSeq.